This 518-nucleotide ribosomal RNA is filed under the name uncultured bacterium. RNAcentral describes it as "partial 16S ribosomal RNA". It matches the Rfam family "Bacterial small subunit ribosomal RNA", at positions 28 to 523 of the family's 1533-position model. The record is from RNAcentral.
GACGAACGCUGGCGGCGUGCUUAACACAUGCAAGUCGAACGGGGUGUUUAUUUCGGUAAACACCAAGUGGCGAACGGGUGAGUAACGCGUAAGCAAUCUACCUUCAAGAUGGGGACAACACUUCGAAAGGGGUGCUAAUACCGAAUGAAUGUAAGAGUAUCGCAUGAGACACUUACUAAAGGAGGCCUCGGAAAAUGCUUCCGCUUGAAGAUGAGCUUGCGUCUGAUUAGCUAGUUGGUGAGGGUAAAGGCCCACCAAGGCGACGAUCAGUAGCCGGUCUGAGAGGAUGAACGGCCACAUUGGGACUGAGACACGGCCCAGACUCCUACGGGAGGCAGCAGUGGGGAAUCUUCCGCAAUGGGAGAAAGCCUGACGGAGCAACGCCGCGUGAACGAUGAAGGUCUUAGGAUCGUAAAGUUCUGUUGUUAGGGACGAAGGGUAAGAAUAAUAAUACGGUUUUUAUUUGACGGUACCUAACGAGGAAGCCACGGCUAACUACGUGCCAGCCGCCGCCGUAA